AAAAGAAUACUUUCAGACAUAUUUCGUUGAAAAUUAGACUAGUAAAUAAACAAACUAUUUGCUGAAGGUCUGAAAUGAAAAGUCCAUAUACAAUUUGGAAAACCAAAAUGGAAUUUCCAACAAAAGACCAGAAAGAGACAUUGAGUCAAUAUUCCUGUUAAAUGUUCCUAAUUUCCAUGUGUACUACAUUAAUAUGACAUUAUUUUCUACAAUUUUCACACCUUGCCGAAUACAAGAGGGGAAGAGUUUUAUUACUACAUUAAAAGGGAACAAAGACAUUACAAUCUAAACCGAAUCUGCAGAAAUACACUUUAAAAUUAUUGUAAGCCUAUUAAGCCCUGAGUCUGAUUCCCAAACAGCUACAAAACCAGAUCAUGAUCGAUUUUUUAUAACUAUAUAGCAACAUCAGUUACAAUUUUCCAUAUUAUUCACUUUGACUUACAGCCAAAAAAAAAUUAAAAAAAAAAAAGCCUAAUUUGCAUCCUUGUUUGGCAACCAUGAAACACAUCAGCACUUUCAUUAACGGAAAGUGUUUCUUCAUAUUUCUGUGUGGAAUUCUGUUUCUCACCAAACUCAGUUUCUGCAUUGGUGACCUUGAUGUAGCAUGCAUAGAUGCUGAGAAGAAAGCGCUUGUCAAGUUCAAGGAAGGCCUAACAGAUCCUUCUGGCAGGCUUUCAUCAUGGGUGGGAGAUGAUUGUUGUAGAUGGGAGGGAGUAAGUUGCAACAACAGAACUGGACAUGUGGUCGAGCUCAAUCUUCGCUGCCCCUACUCAGAAAGUUUGGAUGGUGAUGGAACAGUGCAAACUUUGAGUGGUAAGACUGAUCCAUCUCUGCUAGUUUUGAAAUAUCUAAAUCACUUGGUCUUGAGCAUGAAUGAUUUUGGAGGUUCCCAAAUUCCCUCUUUCAUUGGAUCAUUACAGAGUUUGAGAAUCUCAAUCUUUCUGGUGCAUCUUUUGGUGGAACUAUUCCACCAAGUCUUGGAAACCUAUCGAGAAUGAUAUAUCUUGAUCUCAAUAACGUUGAUCAGUUUGAGUUAACCAAAAGUAGCCUCUACUGGCUUUCCGGUCUUUCUUCUUUAAAAUACCUUCAUUUAGGAGGUUGGGACAUGUCCAUGUCUGCAACACAUUGGCUCCAAAUUGUUAACAGACUUCCAUCACUCCUGGAAUUGCACUUUCCCUUCUGUCAACUUUCCAACCUUCCUUUCACUCUUCCUUCUCUUAAUUUCACCUCUCUUAUGGUGCUUGAUCUCUCAAACAAUGGAUUCAACUCUGCAAUACCAGACUAGUUGUUCAAUCUCAAACGCCUAGUUUACCUUGACCUUAACUCCAACAACUUAUAUGGGCCACUUCCAGAUAAAAUUGCUAAUUUGGCUUCUCUUGAAAACCAUGACUUUUCACUGAAUUCCAUUGAGGGUCAGCUGUCAAAAAAAUGGGGAAAGUUAUGCAAUUUGCAGAGUCUGAAGCUUUCACAAAAUAAAAUUACAGGUGAAAUAACUAAUGUUUUCGAUACUUUGUCCACGUGCUCCAGAAGCAAAUUAGAGACAUUGAAUUUGGGGUACAAUGAGCUGGAAAUCUACCGAACUCUUUAGGAUAUCUAAAGAGUUUAAGGCACUUUCAAAUGCCAUAUAACUUAUUUCAAGGCUCACUUCCAGGCUCAAUUGGAAACUUGUCAGCUUUGGAACAAAUUUCAUUAUCCAAUAAUAAACUGACUGGUAUCCCAAAGAGUCUUGGACAGCUCUCAAAGCUGACUGUAUUAGACAUCUCAGAGAACAUGUGGGAAGGGGUCAUAACUGAAACUCAUCUCGCUAAUCUUUCAAGCUUGAAGGAGUUGACAAUGGAUAAAGCAUCCCCAAAUAUUUCUUUGGUCUUUGACAUUAGCUCUGAUUGGAUACCUCCUUUUAAAGUCACCUACCUCCUCAUCAGAUCAAGCCGAGUAGGUCCCAAAUUUCCUACAUGGCUUAAGAAUCAAAGUGAUCUGUCCUAUGUGGUACUCAACAAUGCAAUGAUUUCAGACACCAUACCAAACUAGUUUCUGAAUUUGAAUUUGCAGCUUGAUAGACUUGACAUAGCUUAUAAUCAACUAAGUGGCAGGGUGCCAAACUCAUUCAGAUUCAACAAAGAGAGCACUGCCAAAUUGACUACAAACAGAUUUCAGGGUCCUCUUCCACUUUGGUCAUCAAACGUUACCAAGUUGUAUCUUGGGGACAAUCAGUUUUCGGGGCCAAUUCCUCCUAGCAUUGGUGAAGUAAUGCCUUUGCUAACAGAUUUAGAUGUCUCUUACAACUCUUUGAGUGGAAGCAUACCCUUGUCCAUUGGAAAUAUAACCGGAUUGAUGAACUUGGUUAUCUCCAACAAUGAAUUAUCAGACAAUGUAGACUUGGGAACAGCAUGUGGGAAAUAUUGAAUUUGAAAAUUGGUGAAGUGAUAAACGAAUGAAGAAUGCACUGGCAGUGAAUGAUCAGUCAUGCGGGCUCAGCGGGAUAUUGAAACAAGAAACGAGGAGUGACUCUCUCUCUCUCUCUCUCUCUCUCUCUCUCUCUCUCUGUGCCAUCUUUUUCUUUUUCUUAUUUUUCAAUUUGUGCGUUGUUUGUUUAUGUGAAUAAGUGAAUGGUAAAUGAGGAAAAAGACAAAAAAUAUUAAAUUUUCUGCUUUCUUAAAUGCUUGCGUGAAGGAUUGGACUUUGACAUUAGGAAAAAGUUCUCUUUGCAUGACUUUCCCAGUUUUUUCCAUCUCAUUUUUCAUGUUUUUUGGCCUGCACAUUUCGUUGUAGUUUCUUUGCUUUACUCUUCCUUUUCUUUGGAUUGCUUUGCGGGGAUGGUUUUGCUUUGUCUUUGGUGCAAUUUUCUUUUUUUGACAUUCCAUUCCCUGUCUUAGUUUUCCUAAAUUUUAUGUGAACUACCAAGAUAUUCAUGUAGCUCUCUGCAUCUUCAAAAGCUGAAGCAAAUUAGCAGUUCUCUUUGAAUUUCUCUUCGAAUUUCUCUUUGAUUUUCUUUCUUGUUUUUUCCCUGCAGGUGCUGGUCGUUGUUGCCAUUCUGCAGUGGUUUCUGUUGGUGUUGUUCUGUUUUUCAUCUUUCUAUAAGUCUUGUUUAAUUAAAGUUUGCUAGUGUGAGUAGUUUUGUUAACAUUGCAUAUUUGAACUAUGUUUUUGUUAAGUGGUUUCUGUUAUGAAGAAGAAAAAGGAUUCAAGAAACAAAGUUAUGUUUAUGUUAGCAAUCUAUAUCUGUUUUUGUUUGAUUAGAAGGAUCCAGCUAAUGUAGAAAAGUAAAAGAAUGUUAAUUUGAUUAGAAAUGCUAUUUGUUAUGCUUUACUGCAUAUUUGGGCUUGUUAUGUCAGAUCAUUUGUCUAAAACGUGAUAAAAAAUGUGUGAUAAAGAUAUAUUGGGAGACCCCGAAAAUGCUGGAUGCUCCAGUGUUUGGAUGUGUGCUUGCGGCAGAAGGUGGGACACUCACUUUCAUGGCUAAAGAGCUGAACCUUGUUGCUAGUGCGGCCAAAAGAUGUUGGUCUUAAGUGUCCUGUGACAUUCCAAAGACAAACGAUGUAAAUUCCUUUUCCUACUUGACUCAAAAUUCUGAGAUUACUGUUUUCAUAAUCAAUAAAUUUUGGAUAAAUAUAUAAUUCAGUUUCUCAAAGAAUAGUGUAUUGUAGUUAUUCUAGGAGAAAUUGAUUGUGUAUGGUGUAAAGUAAAUCCAUAUGCAAUUAGUUGCUUGUUGACAUUUUUAUUUUUAUUUUAUUGUAGUAGAUUUAAAAUUUUAGUAAUAUGCAUGUUCUUUUUUACUAUUAA
Long non-coding RNA from Ziziphus jujuba (common jujube), 3780 nucleotides. RefSeq lists it as uncharacterized. The transcript is spliced from 4 exons. NCBI's taxonomy places the organism in Eukaryota, Viridiplantae, Streptophyta, Magnoliopsida, Rosales, Rhamnaceae. The record is from RefSeq and is a predicted model, not a curated record.